This 329-nucleotide unclassified non-coding RNA is filed under the name Hevea brasiliensis (rubber tree). Lineage: Eukaryota; Viridiplantae; Streptophyta; Magnoliopsida; Malpighiales; Euphorbiaceae. The record is from RNAcentral.
AGCUCAUUUGACAUACCACCAGAUUUGGACACAAAUCCAACGGAUCCAGGCCUGUACAGCUUGCAAGCAAUUAUGUUGUCAAUUGUUCCAGCAGUGUCACCUAUCUUGAAUGCUCCAGCCUGAAUGCCUCCGACAGUAGCUGGGCCAAUGACAACCUUAUUGUUAGAUCGUGCAUACGCAAUUAACUGUUUGGUGUCAGACUCAGGAACUCCUUCAGCUAUUAUAGCCACAACUCGAAUGGUAGGCUGCUUCAGGGCAGCCAUGGAUGAUGCGGCCGCACUUCUAAAUGAUGCAAAGUUAAUAAAUACAUCAGCAGUUGGGUGAGCAGC